This 328-nucleotide long non-coding RNA is filed under the name Gossypium barbadense (sea-island cotton). RNAcentral's name for it is "long non-coding RNA (GBAR_LNC000319)". The record is from RNAcentral. Lineage: Eukaryota; Viridiplantae; Streptophyta; Magnoliopsida; Malvales; Malvaceae.
AGAGCUACGGUUUAGUAGGUUCUAGGACUACCGUAGAGAGUAUUGAGGUUUGCUAUACAUGCCAUUAUUCAAAUAUUGAUAGUGUGACAUCUCCUAACUGUUCAAAUUGUUUUGAAUAUAGUAAAUGUCUUCCAAUCAAGCACAAGAUGAGUCCGAGGGAGCCGAGAGCCAUGCUCCAGCUUCCAUACAAUGAGCUGUAUCUAGUAGUAGUAGAAGAAUUAUGUCUAAAGGCCAGGAAGAGGCCCGAGCUGCCUUCUCUGAUAUGAUGGACGAAUGGUUUGGGGAUUACCUGAGGAAUCGCCCAAACAUACCAAGCCUUCCCCCGCCC